UCCUUUCACCCCUUUUGUUUAUUAGUAUUUUGAUCAAAAGUUGGGCUGUAGCAAUGUUGGAAACGUUUUGAUUGUUGUGAUUUGAGGUGGUGAUCUUGGAUAUAUACUUUAGUUUACUGGAAAGAGAUUGAUCUUGAAAAGGUUACAGUUUGCUACUGAAAAUUAGCAUGAGGGCAGCCUAUUGUGCUCUUGUUCCAUUUAUGAGUUAAAGUUCUUCAAAGGCUACUACUGCUAUGAGAUUUCUCUAGCAAAUUCUACAUCCUUGAGCUAGCAUGAUGUUCUAAACAAGGGCAGAGAGUGUGCUUGUGUUACUUUGAUUGUGCUUCCUAAGUUGUGGUGCCUCUAUAUGAUGAUAUGUAAAGCUAUUGGGGAAGGAAGAUGGAGGUGUAUUACCUCUGGAAAAAUCGAAGGAAUGGCUGUCUUUGCUGCCGUUCACCUUGUUCCACCCUCUACUCUCGGUUUGUGCUGAAAUUUUGAAGUGUGUGUGAAAGGGAGUUGAAUGUGGUGUGGAGGGAAAUUUAUAGGCAGAUUGGUGUACUUGUGAGCCUUAAAUGAGGCUGCUGAAACUCUUGUUUCUAUCCAGCAGCAUAUCUCUCUUUUCUUGAUCCUUUGCAGCAACUUUACUUGACACAUUUUGGUGCUACUUGGAGUACUAGAGUUUGACUAAUUAAUUUAACUUGUUCUCACAUGCUCUCAUAGUACUUUGGUUCAUAACUUUAUUUGUUUGCAAGCUGCAGGAAAUCUCUCACUUCCUUGAUCUCCACUACUCUUGUUUGAAGGAACUUGGUGUUUUGCUAAGGACAGAGGACCUCUCAUUUACUCACUUUGGUGGUUUGUGACUAAGAUAUAAAGGCAGAUUUGGCUUUCCUCAUUUGGAUAGGUCCUUAGUCCUCUAUCACUAAGGUGGGUCACCUUGGCUACCUUGAUGUUCUCGGACUCGGCCCGCCGUUCGGCCGAUGGGUUGCUCGAACGGGCCACGAUUUGGGCCUGAGGGGGAAGGCCCGAAAAGCAUCUAAAUUUUAUUUUCUUUGUUUUCUUUCUUUGAAGCCUCGAUCCACAUAUUGUAGUAUUUUUGACAUUAAUUGUUCGUUUAUUGUAUUAGAAAUGUUAUUCGAAAAUUCAUGAUAUUCUACAAUGUAAAUUUCCAAUUCUUAGUUCAA
Molecule: long non-coding RNA, 1160 nt
Organism: Salvia hispanica
Lineage: Eukaryota; Viridiplantae; Streptophyta; Magnoliopsida; Lamiales; Lamiaceae
Source: RefSeq, a predicted model, not a curated record